Molecule: transfer RNA, 86 nt
Filed under: Chloroflexota bacterium
Lineage: Bacteria; Bacillati; Chloroflexota
Description: Chloroflexi bacterium (sediment metagenome) tRNA-Ser
Rfam family: tRNA
About the family: Transfer RNA (tRNA) molecules are approximately 80 nucleotides in length. Their secondary structure includes four short double-helical elements and three loops (D, anti-codon, and T loops).
Source: RNAcentral
GGAGGGGUGGCCGAGUGGUUUAUGGCGGUGGUCUUGAAAACCACUGAGCGCAAGCUCCGUGGGUUCGAAUCCCACCCCCUCCGCCU